AGAUAUUUUUGAAGUUUAUUAUCUCAUCCUAAAGUAUACACUCAAGAAAUAUUUAUGUCAAAAAAGCUUGAUGAACUAAUUAACGUUAUUGCUCUUGAUGGUUAACCAUGAAUUAAUGAGAAAACCAAGAAAUAAGGCACAAAAAAGUCAACUAUUAUCAAUCAUUCAUCUUUCCUGAUUCAUUCUGGUAGUUCAGCUUGAUCUCAUGGGAUUCACUUGUUUUGACCUCGUUUUUUGGGUUCAUUUUUACUUUUUCUUCUCUCUUUCCCUGGCUCUAUGCAAAUAGUGUGAUGAAAAAAAGGUCAAAUUUAUUAUUGAAAAAAAGCUGGUUUCUGGUGAAAUGUGAACAUUGGAAAUGGUUUUAAAAACGAGUUCAACUUUCAACAUUGUCUGAUUCAGCUGAAGUGUGAUAAACGGUGUAUUAAGCUGUUGAUUUAAACUUGGAUAAGCUUGAAUCGAAACAUAGAUGUGGUUUGAAAUUUGAUUUUGUUCAUUUCCAAGGAUCGCCUCACAAGUUUCAACUAUUGCAACUAGAGAAGGAAUUCUCAUGCCAUCAACUGAUAAACACUGGAAUAAAGACCAAUCAUAAGUCAAUCGUUCCAGUUUAAAAGAACUAUUUCUCAUUCCCGUAAACUUAUAUUCAAAUACAAAAUUCAUUUCCAAUCAACUGAUUGGUUCGAAGUUUUCUUCUCUAAAUUUGUCGAUGAAUUUUAAAAGAUUGAUUUUGAUGGAACGCAAUGAAAUGUUUACAACAACAAACAUCAAUGGAUUAAGCGAAAUGUCUCAAUUAUCGGACUUGUUCCUGUUAAUAUUAUAAGUAAACCUGAAGCUUAUUUUCCAGCUAACAGUCUACCAGAAUAAUAGCCAUGAAAAUGAUGGUGAUGAUAAUAAUUGAAUUUUGUUCAAUAUUUGAUCAACUCAUUAUUUCCAGUUGAACCUUAGUAAACAUGAAUCUGAAAGUAAUUCACUUUGACUCGCAAACCUCCUACACCUUGCCUCUCCUCCUUUACUCAUCCAUCAUCGUCAUUAAAAAUGAAAGUUGAACUGGAACAAGAAAAGAGAAUCGGAAAUUGUCUCUACAGGAAAUUGACUGACUGAGAGUGAAAAAUAAUAUCACUGCACAGUUUACUUACCUUGAUGCAAAAAAAUAAUGAAAAGGGCAAGGUAACAGCAAUAAUGGCCAACGAGAGGAACUUAAGCAUUAUCGCACAAAUCCUUGUGUCCUCUACGAUGUCUGCAGAAACAAGGUAUGCUAGGAGUAAGAAUAACAUUAAAACGUCAAACAUUGACAACAUUGACAUUAUUAUGGCUUAAUAUUGAUUAUGUUUAAAUUGGAAUGGAUUGUAAAACAGAAUCAGGUUUGAACGUCUUUUUGUUGGGGGUAAACUUGAUUCUAAAAAUGAAAGUAAAAUGUUCAACAAAACCAAACAAAUUGUAUUAAAAUUUACAUUUAUCAAAACACUAAA
Molecule: non-coding RNA, 1466 nt
Organism: Tetranychus urticae (two-spotted spider mite)
Lineage: Eukaryota; Metazoa; Arthropoda; Arachnida; Trombidiformes; Tetranychidae
Source: RefSeq, a predicted model, not a curated record